CCUACGGGUGGCAGCAGUGGGGAAUAUUGGGCAAUGGAGGCAACUCUGACCCAGCAAUGCCGCGUGAGUGAUGAAGGUAAUUUUAUUGUAAAGCUCUUUUCUUUGGAACGAAUAAAUGACGGUACCAAAGGAAAAAGCCCCGGCUAACUACGAGCCAGCAGCCGCGGUCAUACGUAGGGGGCAAGCGUUGUUCGGAAUUACUGGGCGUAAAGGGUUUGUUUGGGGUUUGGUAAGGUAGAUGGGUAAAACCCGGGGCCUAACCCGGGUGCUGCAGCUGAAACUGUUAGACUUGAGUACUGGAGAGGUAAGUGGAAUGCCUGGUGUAGCGGUGGAAUGCAUAGAUAUUAGGAGGAACACCAGUGGCGAAGGCGGCUAUCUGGACAGCAACUGACGCUGAGGCACGAAAGCGUGGGGAGCGAACAGGAUUAGAUACCCCUGUAGUC
This 443-nucleotide ribosomal RNA is filed under the name uncultured bacterium. RNAcentral's name for it is "partial 16S ribosomal RNA". It matches the Rfam family "Bacterial small subunit ribosomal RNA", at positions 338 to 795 of the family's 1533-position model. The record is from RNAcentral.